GCAGAGAUGCUUUGGUGCCUUCGGGAACUGUGAGACAGGUGCUGCAUGGCUGUCGUCAGCUCGUGUUGUGAAAUGUUGGGUUAAGUCCCGCAACGAGCGCAACCCUUAUCCUUUGUUGCCAGCGGUUAGGCCGGGAACUCAAAGGAGACUGCCAGUGAUAAACUGGAGGAAGGUGGGGAUGACGUCAAGUCAUCAUGGCCCUUACGACCAGGGCUACACACGUGCUACAAUGGCAUAUACAAAGAGAAGCGACCUCGCGAGAGCAAGCGGACCUCAUAAAGUAUGUCGUAGUCCGGAUUGGAGUCUGCAACUCGACUCCAUGAAGUCGGAAUCGCUAGUAAUCGUAGAUCAGAAUGCUACGGUGAAUACGUUCCCGGGCCUUGUACACACCGCCCGUCACACCAUGGGAGUGGGUUGCAAAAGAAGUAGGUAGCUUAACCUUCGGGAGGGCGCUUACCACUUUGUGAUUCAUGACUGGGGUGAAGUCGUAACAAGGUAACCGUAGGGGAACCUGCGGUUGG
RNAcentral lists this ribosomal RNA (521 nucleotides) under Klebsiella pneumoniae. RNAcentral describes it as "bacterial SSU rRNA". It matches the Rfam family "Bacterial small subunit ribosomal RNA", at positions 1000 to 1521 of the family's 1533-position model. RNAcentral also lists the same sequence under 1 other name. The record is from RNAcentral. Lineage: Bacteria; Pseudomonadati; Pseudomonadota; Gammaproteobacteria; Enterobacterales; Enterobacteriaceae.